GACAGGCGGGACAGGAACAGCGCCGUGGGUGCCACUCGAGACACAGGGUGGGCGGGGCCAGCCAGGCCCGGAGCUGGCUGCCACCGGCUGCGGCAGGAGGGAGCUGGCUGCCGCCAUUUCAGUGGAGGGUGGCGACAACCCCAGUCUGGAGGGGGCUGAGACCUGUGCUGGGGGCCGCCCGGGGUAGAUCCUGUCUUGAAGAGUUCAAAGCCAUUGUCUGCACUUGGCCCCAUGGCCUCUGAGCUCAGAGUUCACCCCUCAUGGAGCUGGAAGGGACGGUUUCUAGAGAGGCCUCCAUGCUUGGACCAGGAUGAAAAUCCUUCACCAUCUUCAAUGCAACAAGCUGUUCACAG
RNAcentral lists this long non-coding RNA (353 nucleotides) under Pan troglodytes (chimpanzee). RNAcentral describes it as "long non-coding RNA NONPTRT009817". The record is from RNAcentral. Lineage: Eukaryota; Metazoa; Chordata; Mammalia; Primates; Hominidae.